RNAcentral lists this long non-coding RNA (238 nucleotides) under Mytilus galloprovincialis (Mediterranean mussel). The record is from RNAcentral. Lineage: Eukaryota; Metazoa; Mollusca; Bivalvia; Mytilida; Mytilidae.
CGGGCGCAGAGGUCGAACCUUGAACAGUAGGGGCUAGUAUGGACCCAACAUUCAAGCUGGAUACAGCUCUGAAUUUGAAUUGUGAUUAAAUAGUUGACACAGCUUAGGUUUCUGACACAGAAUGAAUGUGGUCUUAUGAACUUAAAAUAUUUGUUUUGCUCUUUAGCAAUUCACUAUGCUGUUGAAUAUUAAUCCUCUCAAAAAAAAAAAUAUUUGGAGAAAUUUUCUUUUUAAUUUC